AACCUGGACCCUCAGACACAAAAGUUCAGUCCAGACAGAGAGCAGAGUCUCCAGUACCCAGCUGUCUGUCUAUGAAGAGUGACCUGGUCCAUGUGGAAUCCUCCAUACUUCAGUAAUGAACCUGGACCCUCAUACACAAAAGUUCAGUACGGACAGAGAGCAGAGUCUCCAGUACCCAGCUGUCUGUCUAUGAAGAG
This is a long non-coding RNA of Sebastes umbrosus (honeycomb rockfish), 197 nucleotides long. RefSeq lists it as uncharacterized. NCBI's taxonomy places the organism in Eukaryota, Metazoa, Chordata, Actinopteri, Perciformes, Sebastidae. The transcript has 3 exons. The record is from RefSeq and is a predicted model, not a curated record.